CUGGUAAGUUAGUGCUUCUAUUACCCCAGGUCGAGGUAUCGAUUUACUGGCACAUUAUCUUUUUAAAAUUAGCUUUUUUUAAUAUAUUUCAAUGUCCCUUUUGCAUAAAAAUAAAUCCCACAUUUUUAAGGAAAAAUUUGGGUCUCUCUUUCUCUUCUCUCUCUCUUUAUGUGACUGUGGAAUGUGAAUUCUUCAAGAAAGCAAUAAUUUUUCCUUCACAUUCCUUUAAAUUUCUCAGGUAUGUAACUAUUCUCUCUCUCUCACUCACUCCUUGCUUUUUAUUUCAAUUCACUAGUUGAUAUUCCUUGCCCUCUCUUUUUUUCUUUUGCUCAAUGUUUAAAUCUGCUGCUGAUAUUUUGUCUUGUUGAUAGUGCUUAUGAUUGUUUAUUUCUAAAAUGAGAAGCUGUUGAAUGCUAUUUUUAUUGGGAAUUUGGGAAAGCUAGGGGUUUGAAGUCUUGAAUUUUGAUAGUUUAUUGAAUUUGAGCACAUAUUGGGUUUGAGAAAAAAAUUGACCGAGUCAAACAGUGAAAUCUAUGGGAAAAAGAAUUUAUGCAAAGGGAUUUAGUGGGACAAUAAUUUAAGAUUAAAAUAUCUCCACAUUAAACGAGUAUAAUUGUGUCAUCUUAAUUUGAACCAAGUAUGAGAGUUUUUCAAGCUAAGUGACGAAGUAUGCGAAGUGCUGACACAUUGAUAGUGCAAGAAGUGGCAUAUAGAGGAAGUUUACGGCUAAAGUUAGCUAGGAGAUUAACUGAUUUGAAUUUUUAUCUUUACAACAGUGAGAAAUUGGAGAAACUAAGGCAUUGAUAGGCUUUUCGCUUCUAUUAUUUGGGACCUCUGCCCAAGAUUCAAUUUUAUAUUUUAGUUGUACUUAUCAAAUGUUAUUAGUUAUAAAAAAACUUGCUCCAUCGAACACAAUUAAAGUAUAUAAGUUCAAAUAUACAUAUACAUAUGCAUAAAUUUUUGUGCUAUAACUUCUUCAUUUUUUGACCGAUAUGCUUUAAUGUGAUUGGUUUGAGUUUAACGAGUUAUUUGAAUUAAGAUAUAUUAAAAUAGAAGUGUGAAUAUUUAUAUUUGUAGGAACGAUCCAUAAUAUUAAAAUGGAUAUAUUUCUAUUCAAGCUGAAAAAUGGUGAACUAAGUUCUAGUGCUUGUUGGCAAUCCACGAGUUCAAAACUUGCUCCGGAAGUUCAAAGGGGGACAAAUCUUUCUCUACUUUUAAAUGUGAAUAAAGUGUUCGACUUGAAAUCGUUUGAACUGGAUCCGAAAUAAAGAAUGCCAAUCUCAGAUUAUGGUCCUUAUCACAUCCCUUUUUUCCCCCUUGACGGGGAAGUUGGGAUUUCGACAUACAUGGGGGGGAAUAACUCAUUUUCUAUUGGAAAUUAGGUAUUUGAAGAGUCGGCACCUAACAGAUUAUGGUGCGUUAGGGCACCUUGAAUAAUUAACUCAUGGACUAGUUUGCAUUACCAGAGAUUUAGGGUAAGAGAUCGAGGAGAGAGAAGCUCUGCGAGGAAGUUUUAGAGAGAGGAGAGAGAAGCUCUGGCGACUGGCAAGCGAGACGCCGCCAGCCGCCGGCCACCACCCGCCAUAUCCAAUCGACCUUACUAAUACUUCCCCACUGUAAAUAUGACGAGAGUGAUAACACGUGAAGCAGAAUACCACAACAAUUAACCCCAAUACCCUGCUACACUAGUUUCCUAGUAUGGGGAGUGCUCCUACAGUCAUGCAGGCACCGCCGGAGAAGGAGGUCGCAGGUGGAACGACGAUGGCAAGGAAACUCACGUACUCAAAUGAAACCCAGAAGCAAACAAUGGCGGAGGUAGUCAAAGGUAAUAGGAUUCAAAAUCAGGGCAUGCAGCUUAAGUUCCAUCCUCCGAUGAUGAAGGAUGGAGUGAAAAUCGCAAAAUUGAACCCUAAAGAGAUAGAGAUUCAGAACCAGAAGUGCAGGUAUGCUUUAAUCAGCUAUGUUUUAAAAGGUAACCCGUCAUUUAAGGAAAUGUUGAAGUAUGCUUAUGGCGUGGUAUGCAGCUUAUGUUCUAUCCUCCGGUGAUGAAGGAUGGAGUGAAAAUAACAAAAUUGAACCCUAAGCAGAUAGAGAUUCAGAACCAGAAGUGAAGGUAUGCUUUAAUAGGCUAUGUUUUAGGAGGUAAUCCAUCAUUUAAGGAAAUGUUGAAGUAUGCUUAUGGCGUCUGUAAUGAGGUUACAACGCCUACAGUGCUGCUGCAUGAUGAUGGGUACUUCAUCUUCAAAUUUGAAUCUAUGGAAGAUAAGAACCUACUAAUGCAACAAGGACCAUAUACGUUCAAUGGUAGGCCUAUGAGUCUGACGGAAUGGGAUCCUAAUUUUCAGAUUUAGAACGAGUCGAUGAAAAUUGUCCCAAUUUUGGUCAGUUUCCCUGGGCUGCCAAUCCAAUGCUGGGCUGAAGAGAACUUAGCCAGAAUAGCAAGCUUAAUUGGUAAGACUUUAUGUACUGAUAGAUUAAUUGCUGAAUGUGAAAGAAUCUCCUAUGGGAGAGUUCUUGUGGAAGUUGAUAUCACUCAACCUCUGCCUGAGAAUGUCUACAUUGAGAUACCAGAUGGAAGAAGCUAGCUACAAAAUGUGGAGUAUGAAUGGAAACCAACCUUUUGUUUAGAUAGCAACUCGUUUGGGCACAAAAAUGGAGAUUGUCAGAAGGAGGAACAACAGGCUGAAGGGAUACAGCGGCGGAGAAAGAGGAAAAAGAAGACAACCAGAUUGCAAUGGCAACCAAAAGCUGUAACAGAGGAGAAAUUAGAUGAGCCGAUACAGAGGCAGAGAAAGAGGAAAAAGAAGACAACCAGAUUGCAAUGGAAACCAAAAGCUGUAACAGAGGAGAAAUUAGAUGAGCAGCAGAAUAAAAAACCAACAGAGUUACCUGCAGUAGAAGUUCAAUUGAAUAAUAAAGGCAAGCAGAUUGCAAUUGUCCAAGGACCUAAAGAUAGAAGACAAAACAAAGAUACCAACUAUGCUGAACUAGCAAGGAGAAAUACAUUUGAAGUACUCACUAUAUUAGAGCCUACUGAUGGGAACCAACAGAUGGGAGAAUGCAGCCUAGAGCCAGGUCUAUUAGAUCCAGGAGGCACUACAUCCACUAUUUCCCCAUGAUUAUUGUAUCAUGAAAUAUUAGAGGACUAAACAAGUCCUACAAACAAAGAGAGUUAGUCAAAUUCCUGAGGACUAAUAGAGUUGAUAUAAUAGCUUGUCUAGAAACUAGAGUGUAUCCUGGAAUAUUAGAGGACUAAACAAGUCCUACAAACGAAGAGAGUUAGUCAAAUUCCUGCGGACUAAUAGAGUUGAUAUAAUAGCUUGUCUAGAAACUAGAGUGAAACAGCAAAACUCAAUGGCAAUCUAUAAGAAGCUGGGAGGUGAGUGGACAAUAGAGAACAACUAUGCAUAUUCUCCAAAUGGAAGGAUAUGGAUAAUGUGGAAAGAAUUCAAUGUUCAGGUGGUACUUCUGGAAAGCACUGAUCAACUGAUCCAUUGUCAGGUGAAAGAUAAGAAUUCAAUUUUUGCUAUCACAUUUGUAUAUGCCCUACACACUAGCGAACACAGAGCACCACUAUGGAGGGAUUUGAGAGUUUUCCAACAUACUGGCCCUUGGCUUAUAAUGGGGGACUUUAAUAGUCUAUUAGGGGUCGAGGAUAGGAUAAAUGGCCAGCCAUUGCAUCCUUCAGAGAUAGAUGAAUUUUAGAGAUGUAUUGAUGAUACUGGAGUGGGGCAUCUUACCAAAGAAGGCAACAAAUUCUCAUGGAGUAACAAAAGGAAUGCUGAAGCCAGAGUCUAUAGCCAAAUAAACUGGGCCUUUGGUAAUGAUGCGUUGUUCAAUUCUUACACAGGGGUGGAAGCACUAUACAUGUUACCUGGAUGUUCAGAUCACACCCAUAUACUGAUAGACACUGAAAUAAUUAAAACUAAAGUGAAUAGACCAUACAGGCUACUACUAACAGUUAUGCAACAAAAAGAAUACAAGGAAGCAGUUCAAAGAGUGUGGAGUCAACAAGUCAAAUGAUACACUAUGUAUUCUAUUUGAAGCAAACUAAAGAAGAUUGAGCAGGAAACCAGAACCAUUCAUCAGGAGCACUCAUCUGUAGAUAAGAAGCUGUAACAGAUGAGAAAAGAUCUAAGGGUAUUCAAGGAAAACAGAAUGCAGAUUAUUUCGAUAAAACAGUGAUUGAAGAAGAAAAGAAACUGUUAGAGAAUAUUAAAAAGUGGGAAGUGAUUCAAGAACAAAUAAUGAGACAGAAGUCAGGAGCAAACUGGAUCCAAGUGGGUGAUAGCAAUACAAAGUACUUCCAUGCAUAUAUGAAUCUAGACAAGCCAGAAACAGGGUGAGCAGUAUUCUCAAUGACAACCAGAUGAGGAUUACUGAUCCACAGCAGAUCGAGCAAGAGUUCACUCAAUUCUUUCACCAGUUACUGGGCACAACAGCACAUUAGCUUCCUGGAAUAGACUUCACUGUGGCUAGAGAUGGGCCCUGCCUAUCAUUGCACCAACAACAUCAAUUGUUAACUUCAGUAACAAGGGAAGAGAUCAGUCAGAUAGUACAUCACCUUCCUAAUGAGAAGGCUCGUGGAAUAGAUGGUUACCCUGCAGAAUUCUUUAAAAAGUUUUGGCCAACUGUGGGAGAGGAGGUUAUAGAGGCAGUGCAGCAAUUCUUUCAAACUGAAAAAUUAUUGAAAGAGAUUAACUGCACAACUGUAACAUUGAUGCCGAAAGUGAAAAAUCCCAACUAUGUCAAAGAAUUUCGAUUUCAAACUGGAAAAUUAUUGAAAGAGAUUGACUGCACAAUUGUUACAUUGAUUCCGAAAGCGAAAAAUCCCAACUACGUCAAGGAAUUUAGACCCAUCGCUUGCUGCUCAACACUGUACAAAGUUAUUGCAAAGAUCCUUACAAACAGACUCAAACUAGUUAUGGAUUAUUUGGUGGGCAUGCACAAUCAGCUUUCAUAGAAGGGAGAAACAUCCUAGACAAUGUUAUUAUGGCUCAUGAACUGAUAAGAGCUUACACCCAAAAGGCAGUAUCUCCCAUGUGCACAAUCAGCUUUCAUAGAGGGGAGAAACAUCCUAGACGAUAUUAUUAUGGCUCAUGAACUGAUAAGAGCUUACACCCAAAAGGCAUUAUCUCCCAGAUGCAUGAUCAAAGUGGACAUUAGGAAGGCUUAUGACUCGGUUGAAUGGGGGUUUCUGAGGGAAGUGUUGCUGAAAUUUGGUGUACCUUACAAAAUGGUCACUUUAAUUAUGGAGUAUGUCUCCACAUCAAGCUUCUCUCUACUAAUCAAUGGAGGUCUCACCAGAAAGUUUGCAGCAAGAAAAGGAUAAAGACAGGGAGACCCAAUGUCUCCCUACCUGUUUGUCUUAGUCAUGGAAUACCUCAACAAAACAUUGAAGAAACUAAACCCAGGCUUCAACUUCCACCCCAAAUGCUCCAAGUUACAAAUCACUCAUAUAUGUUUUGCAGAUGACCUUUUGAUGUGCCGUAGAGGUGAUGAGAUCUCAAUGAAGUUACUGUUGAAAGAAUGUGAUAACUUUUCCCAGAUGUCUGGACUGCAAGAAAACUUGGAGAAAAGCUCUUUGUACAUAGCAGGUGUCUCACAGGAAGUCAAAGAGAUGUUACUGGCAGACUUUCAACUAACAGAAGGGAAAUUCCCCUUCAAAUACUUGGGAGUCCCCUUAUCAACAAAAAAGAUCACAAUCACACAAUGCUUACCUUUGGUAGAAAGGAUAGUGGACAGAAUUAGAUGCUGGUCAUCCAAGGUCUUAUCCUAUGCUGUAAGACUCCAACUGAUUAAGAGUGUUCUAUUUGAAAUGCAAACCUAUUGGGCCCAGGUCUUUCUCAUUCCAAAGAAGGUCAUCAAACUGGUUGAUGGAAUAUGCAGAAACUAUUUGUGGACUGGCAAUCAUGAGACAAGUUGAAAGAGUAGUGGACAAAAUUAGAUGCUGGUCAUCCAAGGUUUUAUCCUAUGCUGGAAGACUCCAACUAAUCAAGAGUGUUCUAUUUGAAAUGCAAACCUAUUGGGCCCAGGUCUUUCUCAUUCCAAAGAAGGUCAUCAAACUGGUUGAUGGAAUAUGCAGAAACUAUUUUUGGACUGGCAAUCAUGAGACAUGUCAUAGGGCUCCAAUAGCAUGGGAAACAGUAUGCAAACCGGAGGCAGCUGGAGGUUUGAAUAUCAUUUGCUAUGCGAGGUGGAACAAAGCAGCCUUGUCGAAGCUGCUAUGGGCUUUUAUGUUAAAGAAAGAUAAGCUCUGGAUCAAAUGGAUCCACUGUCAUUAUAUAAAGAAAAAAGCAGUUGAUACAAUGGAAACUCCAAAGCAGGCUAGCUGGUUGGUAUGGAAAAUAUUUGGAGCAAGGGAAUGGUGGACACAUGAUAAUGCAGCAAUGCAAGCAUGCUGCCUGAAUGGAAGCUACAUCAUCAGCAAAGAAUAUAUACACUCUACUCCACAGUAUCCCAAAAUUCACUGGAAACAAUUAGUGUUGGUGCCUGGACUACUGCCAAAACAGAAGUUCAUAUUAUGGAUGACAUUGCAUAGAUGUUUGGCAACAGCUAACAUGUUAGAAAAGUGGGGUAUCCACACUGACCAGUCUUGUACACUAUGUGAGAGAGACAUUGUAGAGACACACGAUCACCUGUUCUUUGAAUGUUCUUAUUCCCAAAAACAGUGGCAAGGAUUGUUAAAGCGGCUGAACUUCAACAGAUUGAUAAACAACUGGGAGCUAGAGGUGCAAUGGGUUUCUGCUAGAGAUAUACACUGUGUGGGAGUGACAUUAUAGAGACACAUGAUCACCUGUUCUUUGAAUGUUCUUAUUCCCAAAAACUGUGGCAAUGAUUGUUAAAGUGGCUGAACUUCAACAGAUUGAUAAACAACUGGGAGCUAGAGGUGCAAUGAGUUUCUGCUAGAGUAAACAACAGAAAGCCAAGGAAAAUAAUUCUAGGAGUGGUGUUUGCAGCAGUUGUAUACAAUAUUUUGAUGGAAAGGAAUGAAAGAAGAUUUCGACAGUCGAGCAAAGAAGCUACAGAUAGAGCAUGGCAGAUCGCAAUCCAAGUGCACAUCACUGGACUGAAGAAGCCAAAAUGGCAGCCUACCCUACAAUACAUAAAUUGCUAUACUCAAUGUACUCCUUGACUAUAUCUACAUUUUUGUAUGUUAGGAGUUAGUUAAACAACAUUUUUGGUUUUAGAGUAGCUAGUUGAUCAAGUUUGAGAUUUGUUCUAUAGUCCCAAAGAACAAUUGAUGUACAUUUAUACUGGUUUCGACCAAAAAGAAGUUGCACAUACAUAAAGAAAAGUAAAUUUAUUUUGUACAACAAGAGUUGGGAAAGAGGGGUCCUAGAUUAGUUAGCCUACAAGAUCAUACCCACACAAUGCCGGGUAAACACUCCUCGAUGAGGGGCUACACGUGACAUUAGCGCGUACUCAUCAUAUUCCUGACUACCCAAUUCCCUCCCCUUGGUCAUAUCCUAAAGCGUUCUAACAACCUUGAAAGAUAUUCUAUGUAUGCACUAUUCAUCCUGUCACGACCCUAAGUCCGAACAUGGUCGUGAUGGAGCCUCUCAUGAAGACAAGGCCAGCCGACACACAUAAAAUUAAUUUUUAAGCAACUAAACAAUACAAAUUAUGUCUUAAACAUAAUAAGUAAUCCCAAAGUAAAGAUGAUUAAUACACUUGCGGAAUAGACAUAGCUCGGCACCAAGGUGUCACCAGUCAUGAGCAUUUAUUUUAACAACUACAAAUUUGAAAGAAUCUACACAACUAUUACAUAACUAAAAUAGGAGAAAAUAAGAUAGAGGGAGAAGCAAUGGGAUGCGAAUGUCGAGCAGCUAUCUAGUGAAUCUCUGAAGUCUGCUGGAAGCUCUCAAUCCUCGAAAGUAGAACCUGAAGCGCCUGAAUCUACACACGUGGUGCAGAGAGUAAAGUAAGAGUCGAACUCAGUGAGCAAUAAUAAUAAUUGAAGAUUGAGCUAUAAAAACACGUAAAGGAAAAUCAACAAGAUAUAGAGAAGCAGUAUAAAGCCAGUAAAAAGAAUGAGACAUUGAAACAUGUAAAACCACUUAGUUUGGAAGAAGCUUCUUUAAAAAUACCCUUUUAACAAUUAAACAGUUAAAUGGGAAACAACUAGAAUAGAUAAACAAAUAAAGAAUCACCCCUCGGGCACAAUACUAAUAGAAUCAGCCCCUUAGGCAACACAUGGAACCAUACCAGCCCCUCAGGCUAUAUAUCUCACUGGGGGUGUGCAUACUCCUGGAGGGGCCCCUUACGGCCCAAGUGCAAUAUCAAGCCAUAUCAUGGCAUAAUCAAUAGGCUCUCAGUCUCAUUUCAACAAGCCACCUCAUAGAGUACAAUCUGAGGACCUAUCAUAAAUCAGUGUAUCCUCACAACACAGCCCCUCAGUGUUACUUAGUCAGAAUCUCAUAAGCCACCCGGGCAACAGUAAAACAUGAUGCUCAACCCAAAUUAUCAUUAAAUAUAUUAAAACAGAGUAAACAUGUAUGAGUUAUGAAAACAAUAAAAUAUCGCAUGAUUAAUUUCAAGUAUAAAGUCAAAACUGUGAUAAAAUAUCAGUAAAAAUUCAGUAAGGGUCCAAAUAGUUGGCACGAGGACCAAAUAUUGCAUUCAGCCCAAAACAUGAUAAUAGCACAUAGUUUUCAGUCAAACACAGUAAAACAGUCAUUCGGGCCGGACUAAGUCACAAUCACCAACGUUGCCCGACCCCACGCUUGUCAUCUAGCAUGUGUGUCACCUCAAUAUAGCAUCACGGUGUGCAAUCCGGGAUUUCUUACCCUUAAGACAAUAUUUAAAAUCAUUACAUACCUCUAUCCAGUCAAAUCUCUAGCCAGUGAUGCCUUUUCCCCUCGAAACGGCCUCAACCCACGUCGAAUCUAUCAAAAAUCAAAAUCACAACACCAAAAUAUGUUAAGGGAAUGAAUAACAUCCAAAAAUAAUCAAUUUACAACAUAAAUCCCGAAUUUAACCAAAACCCAACCCUCGGUUCCACGUCUCUGAAUUCAAUAAAAUUUACUUUAUCUCCCCACGAAUUCAUACAUAUCAAAACUCCCAAAAUUUGACAAAACAUGGCCCAUCAAAUCCUCAACUCUAGGUCUCCAAUACCAAACCCGGGUUUCCACAAUUUUAACCCUUAAAUUCCAUUAAUUACUUGUCACGGCCCAAUUCACGAACCUGGUCGUGAUGGAGCCUCUCGUGAAGACAAGGCCAGCCAGUCAACCCAAUUCAUCCUUUUAAAACAUUUUAAUUUUCACAAUUAUAGUAUAAACAUGGUUUACUAAUAUCCAAUAACAGAAAGUAUAGAUAAAAUGCGGAAAUCCAACCCAACACAGCUCUUACCGAGGUAUCACAAGUCAUGAGCAACUAAGAAAUCCUGACACAAGUCUACUAAAUACAAAAUCCAAUACAAUAAUUCGAAUAACAUAGAAAUAAUAAGAUAAAGGAGCCACAGGGGCUGCGAACGCCAACCACUACCUCGUAGUCUCCGAAACACCACUUGGACCGGAAGGAUCAGCUCUCAAGUAUGGAAAUCUGUUAUGCCUAAAUGUGUACACACGGUGCAAGGAGUAAUGUGAGUACUCUGACCCAUUGAGUAAUAAAUAUAUACAAUGACUGAAAGUAAUAAAAUACGUUAAGGCACCCAACAUUCUAUACAGAAGCAGUGAAAUAAUAUAAAAUAACAAUUCAGUGAAAUAUCAUGUGAAAUUUCUGUUAAACUAGUAAAACAUGUAAUUUGGUAGUAAAAUGAAAAGUAGAAAUCUGCCCCUCGGGCUCAAUAUCAAAACAACAAGUAGAAAUCUGCCCCUCGGGCUCAGUAUCAAAAUAACAAGUAGAAAUCUUCCCUUCGGGAUCAGUAUCAAAAUAAUAAGUAGAAAUCUGCCCCUCGGACAUAGUAUCAGUAUCUCAGAACAGUAUCAGCCCCUCAGGCUCAAAACAGUAUGAAGCAACCAGUCAAUGAAAUAAGAGCACAUAAUUAUUAUGGCAGAUAAUGCAUAUAAGGAAAAAAUGCAUGACUACAAUCCAAUGCAUAUAACGGUACCUCUGGUACCCACUGCGGUGUGCAACCCAAGCCAUCAAUAUUUUUUUUAUCGUCGAUGGCACCCACUGAGGGCGUUUACAGACUCCGGGGGGUCUCCUACAGCCCAAGCGCAAUAUCAAGCCAUCUCAUGGCAUCAACCAGGCUCUCGACCUCAAUAUCAAUAUAAUCAACCAAGCUCUCUGCUCCAAUAUCAGUAUUAUCCACCAGGAUCUUGACCUCAAUAUCAGUAUAAUACUGUUGCGGUGCGUAGCCCGAUUCAUCCACGCUCAGUCCAGAAUCAUACAUAAGCCAUUCGGGCAAUAUUAAAAUAAUAGUUCUUAGCCCAAAGCAUCAUUUAAAAUAUUAUUGAAGUUUUCAACUCUUAGAAAAUGGCUGAGUUUGCAAAGAUCAAAUGAUAUGCAAAAUAAUGCGAAAAUAGUGAUACCAAUCCCUAAAGGAUUCAAAUAAUUGGCGCUAAGUCCAAAUAUAGGAAUAAGCCCAAAUCAUGAUGAUGACAAAUCAGUUUAUGUCAAAUAUACAGUAAACUCAUCAAUUGGGAUCGACCAAGUCAAAUCCCUAGUAGUAAAGAACUUUGUGCUUGUUAUCCAGCGCGUGUCUCACCUCAAUAUAGCACUAUGAUGUGCAAAACUGGGGUUUCAGGCCCUCAGGACAUCAUUUACAAUCAUCACUACCUAGAACCAGCUAUUUGUUUAAUUCUUGAUGCCUUUUCCCCUCUAAUUGGAUUCCAUGUGCGUCGAAUCUGCCCAAAAUCACAAAAAAAUAUGUUAGAUUAUACCAAAGAGACAAUACCCAAUCAAAAGAAAUCGAAAAAUAUCAAAAUUCACGAAUUUGACAAAACCCGAGCCUCGGGUCCAUGUCUCGAAACUCAAAAAAAAUUUAUAGCAAAAUGUUCUUCGUCCUCUCACAAAUCCGUACAUAUAAAGAACACCAAAAUCGGAUCUUGUUUGACCCCUCAAAUCGACCCUAGAAGGUCUCAAAAUCACAAGCCCUAAACCACAUUUUCUACUCAUUUUCUCCAAUUAAACACUUCAAAAACAUAUAAUAUUAUCGGAUUAUUUUAAGGUAAUUUAAUAUUAUGAAGUAGAAAUGAUCACAAGUGACUUACCUGAAGAUUUUCCAUUAUUUCUUGCUCAAACAUCGCCCUAAACCGUGUUCUUUCACCCAAAAAUGCUAAAAUGGGCUAAAAUAGCUGAAUAUCAUUAAAAAGACUCAUUCUGGUCGCUAAAAGUCUAAUCCCGUCGCUAAAAAUGCCCAAAUCUUGUCGCUAAUGGUGGGCACCGGAAGCUGUUGCACCAGCAAUGUUUAUUUUUACUAAAAGGCUCUAAAAAUAUUGGUUUUUUUCUUUCUGGGUUUCUUAGGCACCUCCAACUUCAAAACGGUCCGCUUGGCCAUUAUGAAUUCUCCACCAUACAAACUCUUGUUCCUAUGAAUCACAAAUAAUGAUAAUAACAUAGUCCUUCAAUCGAAUCUCAAUUCGGAGUUCAUUUGAUCAGUGCGAUACUCAUUUCACUCGUUAAAUAAUUAUCUCACAUUUCGCGUCAAAAACCCAAAUGUGACUUGAUGAAAUUAAACUAAACUUUCCAGAUCACUCCUAUAAUUCAAUAUCAAAAUCCCAGAAGUCUCGAAAUAAAAUUUCGAUAUGUACAACUAAAAAUGGACCUUUGGAUCAUUACAUGCUUAUGCUCAAAAUGCCAAAAUCUUCCAAAAACUCUUUCAAAACUUAUCUGAGCUUCACGGGAUUCCAAUAAAGUAUACUAACAAGUCCCAUAAUAUGACACAAACUUAGUUGUUCCUCCGAAUCACUAAAAACAAUGCAAAAAUAUUAAAUUCACCUUGGAUUCAAGCCUAUGAACGUUGAAACUUCUAACUUCCACAUCUGUUGCCGAAACACGUCAAGACUAGUCCGAAUGACCUCAAAUUUUGCAGACAAGUCCAAAAUGACAUAACGAAGCUGCAAUCUGACCCUCGAAUCUCACCUAUCAAUCGGAAUUCACCAAAAAUACUAACUUUGCCAAUUCAAGGCGGUCAUCACAAAAAUAUACCGUACACACUCCUAAGUACUAUAUCACUUAAAGAAGCUAUCCAAACCAUAAAAUUUGCAUUUCGAGCCCUCUAACACAUAAGUAAAUAUCCAGUUGACUUUUCCAACUUAAGCUUCCUUAAAAAGGACUAAAUGUCUCAAAAAAUUUCACACAAGUCACAUUCGACAUUACGAACUUGCCCGAACUUUGGAAAUCACAUUCCGACCCCGAUAUCAAAAUUUUCACUUCUGGUCGAAUUUUCAAAAAAUCCUUUGAAUUUCUAUAUUUAGCCAAAGUACUUCAAAAUGACCUCCGCACAUCUGAAUUCACUUUCGAUCGCUCUCCCAACAACAUAAUUACCAUACGAAGCUAUUCCCAGUCCCGUAACCCCAAAGGGACAUCUAUAACCCUGAAAUGCCUUCCAAUCCAAAUUUAUGAAAUUCUUCUAAAAUAGUUGUCAGGACCCAAACUCUAUCGUGAUGGCGCCUAUCCCUAAAGCUAGGCAAGCCUAACCAACAAUCGCUCUCCUUUUAAAAAUAAGUCUCAAUACCCACAAUUUAAGGAGAAAUGUAAUAAUUUUGGAAUAAUAAUCCAAUAAUAUUAAUAUAAUAAUAUGGAGACCGAUAGACAUUCCCAUAAGAUCUUGGGUCACGAGUCUAGAGCCUCUAAAACAAACUAGAUAAUAAUAUCUGAAUGAAAAUAUAUAUGUCUGGAAAUGUAUAUAAUAAUGGAACUGAAAUGGGAAGAGUAGCCAGGUCUUGCGAACAUCAAGCUGCUACCUCAACAACUCUGAAAGUAUCUCUGGAGACAACAACUGCUCAGCUAAGGUGUACCGGAUUCUUCACACAAGGUGCACGGAGUAGGGGUGAGUACUACCGACUUAGUAAGUAAUAGGCAUAUAAAAUUUCUUAAGAUAGUAAAUCCACGAAAUGCCACAAAGCAAAGCUAAAACUAACAGUCUGGCACCUUAACUACAAACUAACAGCAAAGCAAUAUCAAGUAUAUCAGUAAAGUAUCACGCACAAAUGCAUUGCAAUGCACAUGAAUCCGCUGCGGCGUACAUCUUGAUCCGUUUAAUGUCGUCGGUGCUCACUGAGGAUGUGUAUAGACUCCGGAGGGGCUCCUACAGCCCAAGCGCAAUAUCAUCAUAUCACUGCUACGGCGUGCAACCCGACCCAUACUCAGUUCACAAUAUGCAUAUGAGUCACAUAACAUAUUCAAUCUAAUUUCCCAGUUUCCAAUUAUUAAGAAAGAAUAUCAUUUAAUUAUUUAAUUUUAGGAAAAGUGACUUAGCAUUUCAUAACAGUGAUUAAACAUAGGACUGAGAUCAAUGACUAUACAAAUCAUGCUAUCACAAUGAUAUUUAUCCUUGACGGAUACUACAAAUCGGCACAAGGCCCAAAACAUGGCACUAGGCCCAGAUAUAUUCAAUACAGUGUGUGUAUCAGUCGCUAAUAUAUAAUAGUUAUCACUCAGGAUUGACCAAGUCACAAUCCACAAUCAUAUACGAUCCCCCACUUGCCAUGUGGUGUGAUUCACGCCCUAUGUAGUGUCACAAUGUGAUAAACCGGGGAUUCAAACCCUCGGACCAUCAUCUAUAUGAACUACUCACCUUUAACCGGUCGUAGACGGGUCCGCAAUGACUUUUCCUCUUGUAUCGACCCCCUCGCGUGUUGAAUCUAGUCAAAAUCAUAACGAAUACAUAUAUAUCGGUUAAACAAACAUAACCUAAUAAAAAAUACUGGAAAAGUACUAAAAUUCACGAAGUUGAUAAAACUCGAGCCCGGGGCCCACUUCUUAAAAAAUUACAAAAGUCACAUCAAUGGAUUUUUUGUCUAGCCACGAGUCUAUAGAUAUAAAGUUUACCAGGUUUACCAAAAACAGAGUUCAAAUGGCCUUUCAAAUCCCCAAAACCCGUUUUCAAACCCAAGCCCUAGUUCUUCAAACUUUCACCCAAAAUGAGUAAUCUAGUUAGGAUAUUUGAUGAUAAUCACAUAUUAUUGUCUAACAAUGACCACAAGUGACUUAUCUCCAGUUUUCACAUGAAUUCUUACUCAUCAAUCACCCAAAAGAGGAUUGAAGACUAGGGAAUAGAACAUUACCUCUUUCAUGAAGAACUUGUGAUUGGGUUAUUCGAUUCUUGAAGAUUGAUGCAAGAUUGGAUGAUUCAAAUGGUGAGUUCCCCCACUCUCUCUCUAAAAUCAUCUCACCUCUCUCUAGAAUGCUCAGAAAAUCACCCCAAAAUGAACCUCAAAGCAUAUAUAUUGAAAUGGAGUCGGGUUACAAAAAGUGGAAAGUUAACACUCCGAAGUCGGGUCUGCUGUAGUAGAACGGGCCGCAGAAUGAACAUAUGGUCCGCAGAAUGCACCCAGAAUCGACACUCAAAACUGGGCUACACUGGCCCAAUCUGCGGUCAAAAUGCUUCGCGUUAUAAAAAGUGGGAAGUUAGCACUCCGAAGUCGGGUCUGGUGUAGCAGAACGGACCACAGAAUGGACAUGCGGUCCGCUGAAUCGACACUCCAAACUAGGCUACACUGGCCCAAUCUGCGGUCAAAAUGCGACCGCAGAGUGCAAAAUGCGACAGGUUUGCAGUUGCAUAUUUCACACAGGUUCAUAUUUUCCAGCCUUUAGUAAUUUGAUCAUAACUUUGGGUAGGAAUGUCCUAAUGAUGAACAGUUUGAAGCGUUUGAAACUAGACUCAGUGAUAUUUAAUUUGAUAGGUUGCUCACUAACCAACGCUUUGUAAAACUGGAGAUAUGAUCGUUUGAAUUGAGGUCUUGUGUGCACUCAUUUACAACUUCGUCGAUUAUGAAGUUUUCCAACUUCGAAGGUUCCCGUCAGCCAUCCGAAAUCACCCCGAGGUCCCCGGGACCUAAAAAAAGUGCAAACCCAUCCUAAAACAUCAUAUGAACUUGUUCCAAUCAUAAAAAUACAUCCAACAACACAGAAAUCACCAAUUCUUAACGGAUUCCAGCCUAAGAACUUUGAAACUUCUAAUUCCAUAUCCGAUGCAGAAACACGUCAAAACUAUUCUAAAUGACCUCACAUUUUGCAGCCAAGUCCAAAAUUACAUAACGAAUCUACACCAACUCUGGAAAUUCCAUUUCGACCCUCGGAUCAGAAUCUUACAUACCAACCAGAUUUCUCUAAAAUCCUAACUUCGCCAAAAUAGGCAAACUUCUACACUGAACCUCCAAAUUUACUUCUCAUUUCUCUACUAAUUCCCAAAUCAUCACCCGAAACUAAAAAAUCAUCGAAAAUCUAUUCCGAGCCAUCUAGCUCAUAAGUCAACAUUCGGUUGACUUUUCCAAACCAACCUUCUCAUAAAGAGAAGAAUUGUCUCAUUUCUAACUGAACUCUAUCCGAAUUACUUCAAAUUCACCAAACACAUAUAAUGAAAAAUAUAAAGCAUAAAACGGGGAAAAAGGUCAGAGACACUAAAGCGACGGGUCGGGUCGUUACAAUACUACCUUUCACAAUAUAUGCCAAAAUGCUCACGGGUUAUCCAAAACCAAAUCUGGACAUAUGCCCAAGUCCGAAAUCAUCAUACGAACCUGCUGGAACUUUCAGAUCCUGAUUCCGAGGUCGUUUACUCAAAAUUCCAAUUUUAGCUAUUUUCUUCAACUUAAGGUUGCCAUAAUAAGAAUUAUCUUUCCAAUUUAACUCUGAAUUUCCCGAAAUUCAACUCUGACCAUACGCACAAGUCAAUAUACCUGAAUGAAGUUGUUCAUGUCUUCCAACUGAUGAACGACGCGCUAGAGCUCAAAACGACAGGUCGGGCCCGUUACAUUCUAUCCCACUUAAAUAGACGUUUGUCCUCAAACGUACCAAGAAGUGAUCUUAAGUUAUCUGAAAUCACUGUUUAACACCUCGUGCACCUGUCCUUGCAACCACAACUUAUAUUGGCACAGUAGUUUGAUCAAAUCUGAAGAUAUCCUCUUUUAUCCAUACAAUAAGCUCAUAACCCAAUUCCAACAUCUGAAAUUCUCUGCCAUAUCUGUUCCUUGUAUAUAAACACUGUAUCAACUACCACACGAGGUACCAGAACAUGACUGUGUACCUUUGUUGAAUUAGCACCAUGCAUCGUAUAAUUCACCAUCUAACCACAAUGACACUCCAUGAACCUUAAUAGCCAAAAUUCCACUACUUUGAUGCUCCCACUGCAUAUGAUGAUAUACAUAUACAUUCUGUUAUAGUGCUAAUGAUACAACCACAACGGAGUAGAUGUGCAGAAAUUUCUAACCAAUUGCAGAGUUAACCCAACAUUAAUUCUCUCCUUUUUGACUAAAAUCAUCACCUCAUUACUACCAAAUAAUGGUAAUUGCCUUGUAAUAUACCUUACAUAAUCCCACUGCAAUGGUCCCCGAUACCAAUAGUUUCACCUCUCCUAGUACGAGCUGCUCAGAAAACCAAUCUCUCACGACCCAUUUCAAGAACAGGUCGUGAUGGCACCCAACAACCUUGCUCCCUGACACCAAUAGUCUCGCCUCACCUAGUACAAGCUGCUCAGACAACCAAUCACCAUAGAUAAUGACCAACGGUCUCAUGUGAUGCAAAAAUGCGCCAAUAGACCAUAAUGCUAACAAGAUACAUAAGGAAAUGACUAGGAAUGGACUGCUCAACUCACAUACUAAUAUGUACUGUUCCCUAGAGAAUAGGAAUUUAUCAAGUCGUUUCACAACACACAUGGCACAAUAAUAAUAUUACAUGAAUUGACGAACACAUAACAACAUAUGAUAUACCAGCAUCCCUCAUUAAGGAGCGCUAUAGUGAAAUGAACACAUCUAACUCACAUGAAGCACAUCAUCAUAUUUAAAUCCACUCACCCACUUCAGGUCAAUUCUGCUCGCACUGAACUAGGAUGAUAGCCUUUCCUUGACCCGUAAUAGGUCAUUUUUUCUCAUAACAUGCAAGAACUACAACCGUAUCCGGGACAACACCCCACAAUCCACAACCAAAUGAACCGACCAACUUCAUAUAUAUCUUAGAUGUUCUUCCAACAUUUCUACUUUUUUAAGUCCCCAAGAUUUGACUAACUCCCAUAUUUUUUCAAAUAUUUCGGUAGAGGGAAUAAGCCUAUUCCUGUCAGAGUAACACCGAAAAACGCAUAACAUGUCCACAACCCAACAAGUACCACAAGUAUAUCAAUAACACUAAUCUCCGCAUUAUAAGCCCGACAUUAUCACAAUGAUAUCUUGACAUGAAACGUAUAAUUUGUAUGAUCAUAACCACAUUUCCGUCUUACUAGUUCAUAAAUAAUUCCAUCAUCAUCAAUAAAUCUCAUAUUAAUCACCACCUCAUUUCAAAUUUUCACAAUACUGACAAUAGAAUGUGAGGCAUGAACACCUCAUUAUUACUUAUUCUGAUUAAUGAGUCACGUUUAACGCCACCUGGGAACUCAUCUCAUAAGCUAAAACUCAUUGUUUACAGUAUGAAAAUGGCUGAAUAUGAACAUAAAAUAUACAAGAAUUAUCAAAUCAACCUAACUAGCAUGACUCCCUUUUAAUAUUAUCGUACGAAUUAAACUUUACAAAGGAAAACUUUAAACUCAUAAAUAUUUACCACAAGGAACUCGUCCUUACAUAACCUCCACCGCGUUUUACAGCCCGGUUUAAAUAUUUCACAUUGUGCCAACUGCAGUUUUCCAUUUCCUUUCUUUAUUCUUCUCAAUAAAUUUUGUAAACAUUUUUUUUCAUAGCACAUAACGAACCAUCAUACCGGUAGGGCAUAUAAUUCAUAAAAAAAAUUGGAAUCAAUUAUUCCGAAACACAUUAAACCCAUUGUAGUGAAGCAUACAAACAAUAAGAUAUAGAUGGGGUUCCACAGAUGCAUCAAAGAUCACAGCAGAAACAAGUUGAAGAGAUCUAAAUCACACAACUAGAAUCACUUUAAGGAAAUUAACUGACUUAGUAGAACUGAAACAAAGCAUGCAAGGACUUAAAUGCUAGGCGAGUAUUAACAGUGAAGGCAUACCAAUUAUAUAGAAGCGUAGUUUAGGAAAAAUAUAGUUAGUCCAAACAAGCAUAAGUUACAUAGGUAGACAUGCUAAACAAGACAGCAAAUAGGAAAAUAAAGUGGAAACAUAAUAAUCAUAGUUUGAAUAGGAAAUUUUAGACAUGCUUGGAUAAGCAAUAAACAGAAAUAUGAAUAGGCUUAGGCCAUAUGAACUAAAGUAGUAAGUAAAGACAUAGGUUUGAUUCUCAAAAAUUAAUCAGAAGCAUAUCUUGUUAAAGAAUGAAAAACACAAGAUGUGAGAAAGGUAGUCUGCAACUCCCAGUCUUGGCUUGCAGCCGGCUAGAAUGCUAGGGAUAACAAGAGGAAAAGAGAGCAUAGAGAGCCUUUUUAGGGUGUAAAAAGUAGUAGUUUUGAACUGUUGUCCGUGUCAGAAGUGAAAAUAGGAGGGAGUUUAUAUAAUAAUCAAGAGUUAAACAAAAUAAGGUAAAGGAUCAAUUAAGUAGCAAUUAGGGAAAUUCAUGGAAUCAAUCACCCAUAUAAAUCUUCAAGUCUACCUCUUAAUCAAGGGAUAAUCAAAUCAACAGUAAAAGCAUGCUAGAUAUUUAUGGAAAAAAAUCAAGUAAAUUUUGGGUAUAGAUUAGGUAAUUAGAUGUAAAUAAAAAGAAGUUUCAAUUAAGGAACCAAUCAAUACAAAUCAGUAAACAACAAAUAAGGCAAGGGAAAACUAAUUAAGGCAAGAAAUUCAAUCAAGCCGAGGAGAGAGGUAAGAAUCAAAAUUUUCGAUAAGGAAAAGAUUUCAAAUAAAAUAAGAAAAUAAGAACUUCAGAAUAGUCAAGGGUUUAAUCAAAGAGAAUAUCACGUAAAGACUUAACGAUUUUCGCAUACAACUUAAAUAAAGAAAAAAAAGAAUAGCCAAAAUAAACAUAGGCAUAUAGAAUCAAUGGAAAAUUGAAUUAAGAAACUCAUUAGAGGGGAUAAGAAAAUCACAAAAAAUCACAAAAACCAAGGCAAGAACAAAGUCAGCGUACAAGUACUCAAAAACCAAACGAAGAAUGUCGGAAAAAUUAAGGAUUUUAGCAUAUACGAGUUGAAGUUAGACAAAACCUAACGAAAUCGGUUAAAACAUAUAGGAAACAGAAGAUUAAACAUCCAAAAAUCAUCAAAUGUUUUGAAAAAAGAAAUUUUUGGAAACCCUAGUUUAGAAAAAUAUGAAAAAUCAUUAGAGAAUCAGACGAUUAUUGUAAAGAAUCGAAAGGUUAUUGUAAAAGUCCUAUGAAAUAGGUCCAAACCAUCUAAGAUCUAUACAAAUCUAAGAAGUUCAAAAGAAAAGAAUUAGGAAUCAAGAAGAAUAAUCACAAAUAUAAAGAAGCAAACUAAGAAACCCAUAGAUAUAGGAAUAUCUCACUUGGAAUAAAACCAGGACAACCGAAAAUAGGCGAGAAAUGGCCAUAGAUGCAUGAAAACUAACCGUAGUACCUUGAGGAAUCUGGAGAUGGCAAUAUCAGCGUAAGGGAGACUAUUAAAGGCCCGGUGGUGGUGGGGAAACACCAUGAAAGACAACAAAUGACAGGCAAGGUAGGUAUAUUAGGGUUAGGGCUUGAGAUCUUUUAGAGAGGAAAGGGAUUUCAAGGCGGCGGAUGGUGAGGAAGUAGGAGGGUUUUGAGGGGUCGUUUUGUUUAUUUUAGGCAAAUGUCAAUCUGAACAGUUGAUCACAAUGAUUAACGGCUAGGAUCUGCCGCAUUAUUGGGUUGGGGCAGAUGGGUAUUGGGCCAGGUACAUUUUAAAUUUAAAAUUGUGCUGGGUAUAUGUUUAAAUUAGGAUCAAAAUUGAAAUAUAAUAGGGCCAGAUUUUAAAUUACCACUUUUGAUAACUAAAUAAUUUAUAAAAAAUAAUAAAUGAGUACCAAAAACAUUUUUUCUGUACUAAAAUUAUUUUUAAUACUUAUUCAAUAUUUUAAAAUUAUAAAAUAAUAUUAUAUGCAUAAACAAUGUAAUUACACAUCAGUAAGGUCUAUUAUUGCAAAUAUGUAUAAUUUAGCUUAAAAAUACAAAUAUAAUUACAAAAAAUGCACAAAUAUUUUUUAAACACUAUGUUAGCAUAAAUAAUAAAUUUGGAUGUCUAAAUAAUCACAAAAGUAAUUUGAAGGAUAAUUAUUGGAUGUUUAUAUAAUAAAAACAGGAGAAAUAAAUUGAUUUGGAGCUUUUUAAAAUUGUAGAAAAAUUAUAAAAAAAAUACUUAUAUAUACUCAAAAUUCCAAUUUUAGCUAUUUUCUUCAACUUAAGGUUGCCAUAAUAAGAAUUAUCUUUCCAAUUUAACUCUGAAUUUCCCGAAAUUCAACUCUGACCAUACGCACAAGUCAAUAUACCUGAAUGAAGUUGUUCAUGUCUUCCAACUGAUGAACGACGCGCUAGAGCUCAAAACGACAGGUCGGGCCCGUUACAUUCUAUCCCACUUAAAUAGACGUUUGUCCUCAAACGUACCAAGAAGUGAUCUUAAGUUAUCUGAAAUCACUGUUUAACACCUCGUGCACCUGUCCUUGCAACCACAACUUAUAUUGGCACAGUAGUUUGAUCAAAUCUGAAGAUAUCCUCUUUUAUCCAUACAAUAAGCUCAUAACCCAAUUCCAACAUCUGAAAUUCUCUGCCAUAUCUGUUCCUUGUAUAUAAACACUGUAUCAACUACCACACGAGGUACCAGAACAUGACUGUGUACCUUUGUUGAAUUAGAGAUGAAGUGAGAAGAUAUUUAAUAAACAAAUGGCCUUGUCAAUCGAUUGGUCAUGCCUUUCCUUAAACUAAAAUUGGGAGUAAAAUGCGUCAAUUUAGCCCCACUUGGUUUAGGGGACCAUAUUCUCAAUGGUUGGAGUAUAGCAUAAAAGGAGAUGCGGCAUUUUGUUUAUGUUGUUACUUGUUCAAGAAUGAACUUGAAAGUCGUGGAAAUGCAGGGGAUGCAUUUACAAAAUAUGGUUUUAGGGGAUGAAACAAGGGUGUGAAGAUUCAAAGCACAUGUUGGUGAAAUAAAUAAUAUCCAUCAUAAAUGCUUCAAUAAGAUGCUAGAUUUGAAAAAUCAACGUCAAUCGAUACAAUCUUCUUUUGAUAAGAAAAGUGAAAAAGUAAAAAGUUGUUACUGGAUGCGCUUCAAUGCCUCAAUUGAUGUGGCAAGUUUUCUUUUAAUAUCAGAAUUUUUAUUUCGUGGACAUGAUGAAAGCGAAUAUAAAGGUGGCUUUCUUGAACUUUUGGAAUGGCAUGGAGAUCGGCAUCCAGAUGUGGGAAGAGUAAUACUAUGUCAUGAUCCACAAAUAAUAUGAUGAUUUGUCCAACAAUACAAAAAGAUAUUGUGGAGGCUUGUGCUAAAGAAACAACUUAAGCUAUCAUUGAAGAUUUGGAAGGAGAUUAUUUUGCAAUAUUAGUUGAUGAAUCAAAGGGCUCCUCAAUAAGGAGAAAAAGGCUUUAGGUUUGCGAUAUGUGAACAAAAAGUGGAAUGGUGAUAGAGCGAUUCUUGGCUAUUGUCCACGUGAGUGAUACAUCUUCUUUAUCAUUAAAAAAAAUCAAGUUAUUCUUUGCUUUUGGAUCAUUAAGUAAAUCCAAGAUAUGUGGGAAAGGUUAUAAUGGAGCUAGUAAUAUGCAAGGAAAAAUAAAUGGUCUCAAGUCCUUAAUUUUGCAAGAUACUCCCUCUACAUAUUGUAUUCACUGUUUCACUCAUCAAUUGCAACUAACACUUGUAGCUCUUUCUAAAACAUAUUCGGAUGUGGAUAAUUGCUUUUGUGUUGUAACUAAUAUUUUGAAUACUAUUGAAUCUUCAUUUAAGCACUUAGAGCCACUUCGACAACAUCAAGCAGACAAAUUGAAAGAGUUGCUUAAAUUUGGAGAAGUCUAUAGGGGCCAAGUUUGAAUCAAGAACACGACCUCCAAUGAACGGGUGAUACUCGUUGGGGGUCUCAUUUUAAAACCUUGGAAAAUUUGAUGGUUUUAUUUUCUUCAAUUGUUAAUGUGCUCUAAGAUGUGAAGUGUGAUCGUCCAAAUUAUCUUGAUAGAUUUGCAGCGGAAAGUCUCUUUGUAAUGACCUAAUCCCCGAUACGAUCGUGAUGGCGCCUCUUGUGAAGACAAGGCCAGCCAACUAACCUAUUUCGCCUUUUCAAAAUAGUUAAAUAUAAAUAAACAGUUUAAGUACGAGUAAAUAACCACAAACUAAGCAAAAGAUUUUUAUAUAAUGCAGAAUACAGCCCAAACACAUCUCGAUACUGGGGUGUCACAAGUCACGAGCAUAUAUUAGAGUAUGAAUACAACCAUAAGGUCUAAAAUACACAAAACAGGACUGAUGAACGAAAAGGGAGAAAAGCGGUUCUGCGAACCCUGUCAUUCACCUUGUUAAACUCCUAUAACUCUAACUCCGAUCAGCCAAAACCCGCUACCAGUAUAUAAAUGCCUGUAUUUGCAUGCAAAGUGCAGGGACUAAAGUGAGUACUCCAACUCAGUAAGUAAUAAAGGUAAAUAACAACUGAGUGAUAAGAAAUCACGUAAAUCAAAUCAACAAACUGUAUAGAAGCAGUGUAAAACCCUUUGAGAAAAAGCAGUGAAGCUGUGCAUUCUUUAGAAUCAUCUUAGCUCAUUUUCAACCUCUUUUGAAAUGACUUUUUCAGCAGUUACGCAAAUGAACGCAAAGCAGUUAGUGCCGAUAAGCACAGCAAAACCCGCCCCUUGGGCAAAAAUCCCAUCGUAUAAUAGGUAAAUGACAAGUAAAUAGUAAAGAUGAACACAUAAAGGUUCGUCCCUUGGGCAAUAUCUCAGAACAGUACCAGCCCCUCGGGCUUACUCUCAGAACAAUAUCAGCCCCUCGGGCUCACUCUCAGAUCAUAAUGGGUACCCCCGCUCACUAGGGGUGUGCAUACUUCGGAAGGGCCCCUUACGGCCCAAGCGCAAUAACAAGACAUCUCGUGGAAUCAACUCUCCACUCUCGGCCUCACAUCACUCAAGCCACCUCAUGGCGUAUAAAUGUAUCUCAGGCCCUCGGCAUCAUAUCACUCAGUGUAUUUACACAUUUGUCCCUCAGCCUAACACAGUAAGAAAUUAUCACAAGCCCAUCGGGUAUUAGUAAAACAAUAGUUCUCAGCCCAAAACAACAUUUAGAAAUAACAUUUAAGUCCCAAAACUGAGUAAAAAGUGGCUGAGUUGUAAAACAGUAUGACUGAGUUAAAGUAUUAAGUAAAAACAGUGAGGAAACAAUGAUAAAAUUCUCCGAAGGGUUCAAAUAGUUUGCACGAACCCCAAAUAUGACAAGCAACCCAAACAAUGAUGAUACAAAUAAGUUUCAGUCAAAUACACGGUAAAAUCAUCAAUCAGGAUAGACCAAGUCACAAUUCCUAAUAGUAAACGACCCCACGCCUAUCAUCAAGCGCAUGUCUUACCUCAAUAUAACACUUGAUGCGCAAUCCGAGGUUUCAAACCCUCAGGGUAUCAUUUACAAUCCUUACUCACCUCAAACAGACGAAAUCUCUAGAUCGUGAUGCCUUUGCCCCUCAAACCGGCCUCCACACUCGUCAAAUAUAUCCAAAAUCAGAAUGAAUAUAAGGUCAAAGCAAGCAUAUAAGCCACCUCCCCAAUCCUCCUAAGUAUCUUAAACGUCCAAUGAACCUUGGAAUCAGCUUCCCUUUCUUUCCAAACCUCAUAAAGCCUUUCAUAGGAGAAACCUUCAACAAGACCUUCUCGCCCACUACAUAAGAUACAUCUCGAACCUUCCGGUCCGCAUAACUCUUCUGAUGCGAUUGUGCCGUACAAAGUCUCUCCUUGAUCACUUUCACCUUCUCUAAGUCAUCCUGAACUAACUCUGACCUCAAUAAUAGCUGGGUGGCAACGCAAGCAUAUAGGUCACCUCCCAAUCCUCCCAAGCACCUCAAAAGGUCUGAUGAACCACGGACUUAGCUUCUCUUUAUUUCAAAACCUCAUAACACCCUUCAUGGGUGAAACCUUCAGCAAUAACUUCUCACCCACACGAGUAAGAUACAUCUCGAACCAUCCGGUUUGCAUAAUUCUUCUGACACGACUGAGCUGUACGAAGUCUCUCCUAGAUCACCUUCACCUUCUCUAAAGCAUCCUGAACUAUCUCCGUCCCUAAUAAUCUAGCCUCACCGGGCUCAAACCAACCAACUGGAAAUAUACAUCGUCUCCCAUAUAAGGCCUCAUACGCCGCCAUGUGUAUGCUGGAUUGAUAGUUGUUAUUAUAUGCAAACUACGCAAGUGGCAAGAACUCAGCCCAAGAACCUCCAAAAUUAAUAACACAGACACGCAACAUGUCCUCCAAUAUCUGGAUAGUACGCUCGGACUAUCCGUCCGUUUGAGGAUUAAAUGUUGUGCUCAAUUGUACCUGUGUGCCCAACUCCUGAUGAAAAGUCCUCCAGAACUAGGAAGUAAACACGGUACCCCUAUCUGAUACAAUGGAAACUGGGACCCCAUGCAACCGUACAAUCUCUCGGAUGAAAAUCUCUGCUAGCUUCUCCGCAGAAUAGGUAGUACAUACUGGAAUGAAGUGCGCGGACUUGGUCAGCCUAUCCACAAUCACCAAAAUUGAAUCAAACUUCUUCGAGGUAUGAGGAAGACCACUCACAAAAUCCAUGGUAAUAUUCUCCCGUUUCCACUCCGGAAUAUUGAUCCGCUGGAGUACCUUACUGGGUCUCUGGUGCUCAUAUUUGACUUGCUGACAGUUGAGACACCAAGCCACAUAAUUCACAAUAUCCUUUUUCAUCCUCCUCCACCAAUAGUGCUGCCUCAAAUCCUGAUACAUCUUCGUGGUACCCGGAUAAAUCGAAUACCGCGAGUUGUAAGACUCCUAUAAUAUCAACUCUCGGAGCCCAUCCACAUUGGGCACGCAAAUUCGGCCCUGAAUCUGCAACACACCAUCAUCACCAAUUGCACAUCUCUGGCAUCAUCAUGCUGAACCAUGUCUUUCAAGACAAGCGAAUGCGGGUCAUCAUAAUGGCGCUCUCUGAUGCGGUCAUACAAAUAAGAUUGGGAAACCAUACUAGCCAACACCCUACUGGGCUCAGAAAUAUCUAACCUCACCAUAUUGUCCAAGGUCUGAACAUCAACCCCAAGGGGCCUCUCCCCAACUGGAAUGUACGGCAGACUACCCAUGCUAAUAUCCUUCUGGCUCAAAGCAUCAGCUACUACAUUGGCCUUCCCGGGAUGAUACAAAAUGGUAAUAUCAUAGUCUUUGAGUAACUGAAGCCAUCUCCACUGCCUUAGAUUAAGAUCCUCCUACUUAAAAAAGUGCUGAAGAGUACUAUGGUCUGUAUAUAUCUCAAGAGAUACACCAUAUAGAUAAUGCCUCCAAAUCUUCAAGGCAAGAACAAUUGCAGCCAACUCUAAGUCAUGAACAUGGUAGUUCUUCUCAUGGGGCUUUAGCUGACGAGAAGCACAAGCAAUCACUCUACCCUCCUGCAUCAAUACAAAGCCGAUCCUAAUUCUCGAAGCAUCACAAUACACCGUAUAGGAACCUGAAGCUAAAGGCAAUACUAGUACCGGAGAUGUGGUCAAAGCCAACGUGAGCUUCUAGAAGCUCUCCUCGCAUUCAUUCGACCACACAAAUGGAGCAUUCCUAUGAGUCAACUUCGUCAAAGGCGAAACAAUAGAUGCAAAGCCCUGAACGAAUCUACGGUAAUAACUCGCUAAACCGAGGAAACUCCGAAUCACAGUAGCUGAGGACGGUCUGGGCCAACUCUACACCGCCUCAAUAUUCUUUGGGUCAACCUGAAUACCAUCACUAGACACCACGUGUCCCAGAAAAGCCACAGUACUAAGCCAGAACUCACACUUGGAGAACUUCGCAUAAAGUUUCUCCUCUCUCAUUCUCUACAAUACCACCCUCAAGUGUUGCGCAUGCUCCUCCUAUCUGCGCGAGUACACAGGAAUAUCAUCAAUAAAAACGAUAACAAAAUAAUCUAGAUAUGGCCGAAAUACAGUGUUCAUCAAGUGCAUAAAUGCGGAUGGGGCAUCAGCCAGCCCGAAGGACUUAACUAGAAAGUCGUAAUGCCCAUAUCUUAUCCUGAAAACCAUCUUCAUAAUGUCUGAGUCCCUAAUCUUCAGCUGAUGGUAGCCUGAUCGGAGGUUAAUCUUAGAGAAUACCCUUGCUCCCUGGGGCUGAUCAAACAAAUCCUCAAUACGUGGUAGUGGGUACUUGUUCUUCACUGUCACCUUAUUCAACUGCCUGUAGUCAAUGCACAUUCUCGAAUACUCUUGCUCCCUAGAGCUGAUCAAACAAAUCCUCAAUACGGGGAAGUGGGUACUUGUUCUUCACUGUCACGUUAUUCAACUGCUUGUAGUCAAUCCACAUUCUCAUUGUGCCAUCCUUCUUCUUUAUAAAUAAUACCAGUGCACCCCAAGGUGACACACUCGGGCGAAUGAACCCCUUAUUUAGGAGUUCCUGAAGUUGUUCUUUAAUCUUCUUUAGCUACUCUGGUGCCAUACGAUAGGGAGGAAUAAAGAUAGGGUGAGUGCCCGGCACCAAAUCAAUACAAAAAUCAAUGUCCCUAUCCGGCGGCAUGCCCGGCAAGCCGCUGGAAACAAAUCAGGGAAAUCCCUUACAACGGAUAUCGAAUCAAGACUAGGAGCCUCGACUUCCACAUCUCUCACGAAAGCCAAAUAUGAUAAACAACCUUUUCUAACCAUCAGUUGGGUUUUUAGGAAAGAAAUCACUCUGCUAGGUAAAUAAUCAUUCACGCCUCACCACUCGAUCCUCGGAAUACCCAGAAUAGCUAAUGUAACAGUCUUAGCAUGACAGUCCAAAACAGCAUGGUAUGGAGAUAGCCAUUCCAUACCCAGAAUCAUGUCGAAAUCUACCAUUCCCAAUAAUAACAGGUAUCCAGACCCCCAAUAGUCACCAAACAAGAUCGAUAUACAUGAUCCACAAUAAUAGUAUCACCCACCGAGGUAGAUACGUGCACAUGCAAGGAAACACAACCACGAGUCGUACCCAAAUGAUGAGCAAAAUAUGAAGAUACAUAUGAAUAGGUAGAUUCGGAAAAAAAUAGAAGCAUUCCUGUGGCAGACUAAGAUAAUACCUGUUAUGACUACAUCCGAGAAAAUAGUGUCCCUCCUAUCUAGAAGGGCAUAGAAAUAAGCCUGACCAUUGCUAGUACGGUCCUCACCCCUGGGGAGACCUCUGGCUACCUGGCCUCCAACCCUAGCUGACUGAGUAGGAGCCAAAGAAAUCGGAGCAGAAGAUAAGGGUUGAUCCCUCUGCUGAGACUGUCUGCUACGGAGCCGAGGACAUUUAUCCUCAUGUAACCCAACUCACCGCACUAAUAGCAACAACCUGGGGCUGGAGAAGGGGAUUGAUGAAAACCCCUCACUGCAGAUGAACCCUGAGCUGAAGGAGCAGGAGCAGAGCUCAGAGCUAGGAGAGCACUCAGUGCAGGCUGACUCUGCUGAUGACCCUGGUGGCCCCGGUUUGAAAAGGCUUCACUAGACCCUGUGCGUCCUGACUGAGGAGGCCUGAAGGAACGACCUCUACCAUGCUGGAACUGGCCCCUAGAUGGAGCACCACUGAAAUUACCUGAACCUCGAGGCCUCUUGGCCUCCCUCUCCAUACGAUCCCGACGGCGAUCUAUCUCAAUCGGUCGAGCUGCAUCAACAACCUCCUCAAAUGUAGCUGUUAUAGCCCUCCCUCUAGUCAUCAAUAUACGGAUCGGAUAGUAUAGGCCAUCUAUAAACCUUCCGAUCAUCUCUCUAUCUGUCCAUAUCAUCCACAUAGCAUGCCUAGCUAUCUGGGUAAACCGAAACUCGUACAGAGUCACUACCAUAUCCCCAUGAGUCAACCACUCAAACUGACGACGCAGCUCCUCCUUGUGAGACCGGGGCACAUACUUCUCAAAAUACCGUGGAGAACUGAUGUCAAGUGAGGGGCGCUGCCUCAAUAGGCCUACGCCUCUCGGACUCUUCCCACCAAGUAAAUGCAGCCCUUGUGAACUGGAAGGUGGUAAAAGCCACUCCACUAGACUCCAGAAUACUCGCAGUACGAAGGAUAAUAUGGCAUUUAUCCAGAAAACCCUAGGCAUCCUCUCCCUCAGCAUCAUUGAAUGUCGGAGGCUGGAGCUUACCAAACCUCUCCAAACAGCAAUGCUCGUCAUCCAGUAUAGCUGGAACCACAUGAGCUAGAGCGGGUGCGACCGGCGGAAUUGGAACAACCGUGCAAUUGGAGCAACUGGCUGAACUGGAGCUACCUCAGGUGUCUGUAAGCCCUGAACAACCUUCUCGAGUGUGCGAGCAUCCGGGGUCUGAUGACCGGUGACCACCCCCAGUCUGAGAAGUAGCCGCUACUGUAAUGGACGACACCACCUGAGUCAGGACAGUGCAGACGGACAAGAUUUGAGCCAAAGCCUCCUGAAGGCCAGGAAUCACGAUAGGCACUGUCAGUGCAUGAACAGGUGCUACUGCAGCAUCUACAGCUGGAGGCUGGUCCUGGACCUGGGCAGCUGGUGGGUCUGCGGGUGUUGCCCCUGCUGGACCGCCUCGUCCGGCACCACGACCUCGUCUACGGCCUCUAGCAGGUGGUACUGGUGAUCGUCCGCCACGUCCGUUAGCACGGGUUCUCGACAUCUGCGAAAAUUUUAGUUUUUACAAUAACAAAGCCGCACGAUAAGAAUUUCAAGAAAGUGAGGUGUUUCCUAAAAGUUUUGUAGCCUCCCAAGGAUAGAUACAAAUGUCUAUGUACCGAUCCACGAGACUAUACUAAACCGGCUCAUGACUCGUGAGGCCUAGUAACCUAGGCUCUAAUACCAACUUGUCACGACCCAAACCCGGUCGUGAUGGCGCCCAACCAUAACGCUAGGGAAGCAUGACCAACAAUCGCUCUCAUUUCGAAAAUAAAUCUCAAAACCGAUAAUUUAAAGAGAAAAUAGUAAUUCUAGAAUAAUAUUCCAAUAUUAUUAAUAGGAUAAUAUGGAAAGAUACGAAAACAGAUAAACACUCCCAAGAUAUGGGGUCACGAGUCUAGAGCCUCUAAAACAACUGGACAAUAAUAUCUGAAUGUCAAUAUAUAAGUAUGGAAAUGUAUAUGAUGAUAAUAAACUGAAUUAGGAAGAGCAGCCAGGCCUUGCGAACGUCAAGCAGCUACCUCAACAACUCUGAACAAUCUGCGGAGAAAACGUGUGAUCGGCUAAGCCUCCGAUGUACCUGAAUUUGCACAUAAGGUGCAGGGAGUAGGGGUGAGUACUACCGACUCAGUGAGUAAUAAGCAUAUAAAAUGUCUGAAGGUAAAAAAUCCACGAAAUGCCACAAAGCAAAAGUAAAACUAAAAGUCUGACACCUUAACUACGAACGAACAACAAAGCAAUAUCAAAUAUAUAUCAGUCAAGUAUCAUGCAAAGAUGCAAUGCAAUGCACAUGAAUCCACUGCGGCGUACAACCUGAUCAGUUUAGGGUCGACGACGCUUAUUGGGGUGUGUACAGACUCCAGAGGGGCUCCUUCAGCCCAAGCACAAUAUCAUCAUAUCACUGCUUCGGUGCGCAACCCGAACCAUACUCAGUCCACAGUAUGCAUAUGAUUUAGAUGACAGAUUCAAUUUAUUUUUCAGUUCCCAAUUAUUACGAAGAAUAUAAUUUAAUUUUUAGUUUCCGGAAAAAGGUGACUUAGCAUUUAAUAAUAGUGAUUAAGCACAGGACAGAAAUUAGUGAUUAUGCAAAUCAUGUUAUCACAAAGAUAUUAAUCCUAGACGGAUACUACAGAUUGGCACAAGGCCCCAACAUGGAAAUAAGCCCAGAUAUAUUAACUACAGGGUGCGUAUCAUCCGCCAAUAAUUAUAUUUAGCUCUAGGGAUGGACCAAGUCACAAUCCCCAAUCAUAUACGAUCCUGCAUCUUCCAUGGGGUGUGAGUCACACCCUAACAUAGCGUCACGAAGUGAGAAAUCAGGGUUUCAAACCCUUAGGCCAUCAAAUAUCCAAACUACUCACCUCUAACCGGUCGUAGACUGGUCCUCAAUACCUUUUCCUUUUGAAUCUCCUUAUACAUGCAGCAAAUCUAGUCGAAAUCACAACGAAUUAAGUUAUUAUAGGUUAAAGAAACAUAACCCAAUUGAAAUUACUUGAAAAACACUAAAAAUAACGAAAUUGGUUAAACCCGAGCCCCGAGCCCACUUCUCAAAAAUUCCAAAAAUCACAUCAAUGGAUACCUCGUCUCACCACGAGUCUGUACAUAUAAAGUUUGUCGAAAAGGAGUUCCAAUGCCCCUUCAAAUUCUAUUUUUAUAUCACAAAUUUUCAAGCCCUAACUUAACCCAUUUGGUGGGUUUUUCACUGAUUUCUACAAUGAUUUGCCAUAAACUCGAGUAAUUAGGCUAAGAAACUUACCUUCAUAUGAUUCUAGGUCAAUUCCCUCGAAAGUCCUUGCCCAAAGCUCAUGUGGGGGUUAACAAUGGUGGAAGUAAUGAAGAAGUUCGCGGAUGUUCUGAUUAUAAAACACUUCUGCCCGCCCAGGUAAUUACUCUAUGCAAUCGCAUCAUCCCUAUUGCGAUCGCAUAGAAUAAACUUCACGUCCCCCAGAUUAUCUCUAUUCGAACGCACUACUGCCCUGCGUUCGCUUAGACCAAGGUCCAGACCCCCCUUAAAUGCUCUAUGCGUUCGCAUUUCCCCCAUGCGUUCGCAUAGAGUAAAUUCCAGCCAAGGACCCCAUCGCCAAUGCACUACGCGAUCGCAUGGCCCAUUGUGCGAUCACAUAGAACAAACAGGGCCCCUCUACCAGCCUUCUAUGUGAUCGCAGACACCCUAUGCGAUCGCAUAGAGCUACGUUUUUGCUGCAAUUUUCUGUUGCAUUUCCUCAUUUCAAUUUUUUCCGUUAGCCAUCCGAUAUCACCCCGAGGCCCUCGAGACCUCAACCAAAAGCACAGAACGUUCUAUUACUUCCUUCAAACUUUUUUGUAGCAUAAAAACACUAUCAUAAACAUCAAAAUCAUCAAAUUUCCACGAAUUCAAAUCUAAGUUAAACUAAAACUUCUGAAACUUGCAUUUGAUCCAAACCCCGACCUAAACACCUCUGAAUGACCUGAAUAUUUGCACGCAUAUUCAAAAUCACCUAAUGGAGCUACUGCAACUGUCGGAAUUCUAUUCCGGCCCUCGGAUCAAAAUCUCACCUAUCAAUCAGAAUUCGCCAAUAUUCAAACUUAGCCAAUUCAAGCCUAAUUCUACACCGGACCUCCAAAUUCAGCUCCAAUAGUGCUCCUAAGUCAUAAAUCACCACCCAAAACUAGUCAAAUCAUCGAAUAUCUAUUCCGAGCCCUCUAACUCGUAAUUCAACAUUCGGUUGACUUUUCUAAACUAACCUUCUCAUAAGGAGACUAUUUGUCUCAUUUUUAACCGAACUCUAUCCGAAUUACUUCAAAUUCUCCAAACACAUAUAAUGAAACAUAUAAAAGCAUAAAACGGGAAAAACAGGGCGAUAACUCACGUGACGACGGGUCAGGUUGUUACACCUUCCCAGUUCCUAGGUACACUCAUGUUGAUCUUUUCGUAAAGUAUUAGCCUUUUCAAGGAUAAUCCGCUCUGAUACCAAUUGAUGUUCCAAACGUCAAUACCACACAAAAGAGGGGGGUGUGAUUCAUAUUUUCGAUUUAGAAGAACCUGGUUCUUCUAGGUGUUCUAACUACUACUAUUUGCGGAAUUAAAAUACAGAAAUAAAAGAACACGGAGAUUUUUACGUAGAAAACAUCUGGCUCAAAAGGUGAAAAAACCACGACGUACUAGUCAGUAGAAUUUUUCCAAACAUCUAAUAAACUCAAUGAGCCAACAUAGCAUUUACAAAACUCUUGUAAACCUAAGGAUUAACUAUAAUCCUAGUGUGGCACACAGCCUAAACUGCAGCGACACUUCCAAGUUAACUCUAACUUGAAUACUCAAAGUACCUAAUACAAUUGCUUCUAUGAAAGCUGGAAAGGUACAAGUUUUAAAUCACCUAUUAUAAUUGAACUAGAAUAAAAAUAAACACAAUGGAACUGGUUGUUCUAUCUCGUUCAAGUAGCUGCAAGAGUGCAUACUUGAUCUCAUAUAAAUUGCUUGUAAAAUUGCCUUGCUCUUUUGCUCUCAAUUUACCUUAACUUAUGCAUAUGUGCAUACCUUUAAAAGAUAACAACUCAGUUAUUUAUUAGGUUAGUAAUCAGAGCUUGACCGGGACUCAAUUUAUGAUCCUCCAUUGAGUUUGAGUCCUAGACCAAUCCAAACUCCAACCAUUAUCCGGUUGUGUUCUCUUCUCAUAAGGAGACUUCUUAUCUUUAUUCCAUAUGCAAUCUUUUUGAUCGGUUUAGAAGAUAUUGUUACUUGAUCCCAAAGGCUUAUCUUCUUCACGUGCACAUCAUGUGCAUGUGCCAUAAUAAUUUUGUCUCAUAAGAUGGACCCGGCUCUUUACUUAAUUCAUUUGUCAUUCUUCAAAUAUUUAAUGAGCUUGGGCCAACACUAAGCAAAUUGAUGUAUUAGAUGCAGUUGCUUAGUUCUCCGGGGAAAUUGAAAUUCCAAAGGAGUUUUACCGCAACUUCAUUAAUAAUUUGCUAAAUUCUUUUGGAGAUUUCAUCUUCUUUUUCAUUAUUUAUUGCUGAAUAUUUUCCUUCAAUUUAUUAAUAAAUUCUCAGCAUAUCGAUUUUCAGAUACUUGCAUAUGUCUGGAAAUUAUUGGAGACAUUUUGACAUGAUUUUUCUAAUAAUAAAUAGCUUUGCUUUUGUAAUUCUUCUAUCUUUUUAGUUAUCGAUUUAUAUAUAAUGUUCAGUGAAGAAACAAUUUUUUUUUUUUUGAAGGAGGGUUUGAUGGUGGAGUUAUUGAAGAAGAAGAUGAUGGCUUUAGGGUGUGUUUGGUACAAAGGAAAACAUAAUUCGAAAAAUAUUUUUUAAUUUUUCUAUGUUUAGUUGGCUUAAAUAAUUUAGAAAAGUAUUUUCCUUAUUAAUUUAUUUUCUUUCAAUUGGAGGAAAAUGUUUUGCUUAUCAAAAGAAGGGAAAACAUUUUCCAAGCCUCCUUCUCAAUCUUCUCUACCCCACACCCUCUCAAAAAAAGGUUUUCUUUUUCUUUUUUUAAAAUUUCAGUUUUUCCGUUACCACCUACCCUAGUAUCCCACCACUACCCACCCCGC
RNAcentral lists this long non-coding RNA (33123 nucleotides) under Nicotiana benthamiana. Its description in RNAcentral is "long non-coding RNA (NBEN_LNC006765)". The record is from RNAcentral. Lineage: Eukaryota; Viridiplantae; Streptophyta; Magnoliopsida; Solanales; Solanaceae.